Molecule: ribosomal RNA, 253 nt
Filed under: uncultured bacterium
Lineage: Bacteria
Description: partial 16S ribosomal RNA
Rfam family: Bacterial small subunit ribosomal RNA
Source: RNAcentral
GACGAAACGUGCGAACGUUGUUCGGAAUCACUGGGCUUAAAGGGUGCGUAGGCGGGUUGUCCAGUCUGGGGGGAAAUCCCACGGCUCAACCGUGGAAUUGCCUCAGAUACUGACGACCUCGAGGGAGGUAGGGGCGAGCGGAACUGUGGGUGGAGCGGUGAAAUGCGUUGAUAUCCACAGGAACUCCGGUGGCGAAGGCGGCUCGCUGGACCUCUUCUGACGCUGAGGCACGAAAGCUAGGGGAGCAAACGUG